AAGUCGUAACAAGGUUUCCGUAGGUGAACCUGCGGAAGGAUCAUUAGUGAAUUCUUCAAAGUCGGCCCGUCGGAUUGUGCUGGUGGAGACACAUGUGCACAUCUGCGGGUCGCAAAACCCAACACACCUUGUGAAUCUAUGACUCUGAGUCGCCGCCUUGCAUGGCCCUUGAUUGGGCCUGGUGCUCGAGUACUUUAACACACUCUUGAAUGUAACGGAAUGUCAUGUCGUGCAUACAAUGUACAAACAGAAACAACUUUCAACAACGGAUCUCUUGGCUCUCGCAUCGAUGAAGAACGCAGCGAAAUGCGAUAAGUAAUGUGAAUUGCAGAAUUCAGUGAAUCAUCGAAUCUUUGAACGCACCUUGCACCCUUUGGUAUUCCGAAGGGUACACCCGUUUGAGUGUCAUUGUAAUCUCACUACGAUCGACUUUUAUGGUCUUUAUGUAUGUGGACUUGGAUGUUGCCGUUAACAAACAAACGGCUCGUCUGAAAUGCCUGAGUGUACCCCGCUUUGCGGCGUAUUCGGUGUGAUAAAUCUUCACCGGAGUUGAUCCCUUUAUCGGGGUCGCGUCUGUAAUGGUGUGGCUCUAUGCUUCCAACCGUCUCUCAUGGGACAAACCUCUGACAAUUUGACCUCAAAUCGGGUGGGACUACCCGCUGAACUUAAGCAUAUCAAUAAGCGGAGGAAAAGAAACUAACAAGGAUUCCCCUAGUAACGGCGAGUGAAGAGGGAAAAGCUCAAAUUUUGAAUCUGGUGUCUUUGACUCCCGAGUUGUAAUCUAGAGAAGUGUUUUCCGUGUCGGACCGUGCACAAGUUCCCUGGAACGGGGCGUCGUAGAGGGUGAGAAUCCCGUAUAUGGCACGGACUCCCGAUGCAUUUGUGAUACACUCUCAACGAGUCGAGUUGUUUGGGAAUGCAGCUCAAAAUGGGUGGUAAAUUCCAUCUAAAGCUAAAUAUUGGCGAGAGACCGAUAGCGAACAAGUACCGUGAGGGAAAGAUGAAAAGCACUUUGGAAAGAGAGUGAAACAGUACGUGAAAUUGUUGAAAGGGAAGCGUUUGAAGUCAGUCGUAUCUGGCGGGAUUCAGCUUGGCUUUUGCCGGGUGUACUUCUCGUCCGAUGGGUCAGCAUCAAUUUCGACCGGGGGAAAAAGAUGUGUGGAAUGUGGCCGUCCUCGGGCGGUGUUUAUAGCCACCGCAUUGUAUGCCUCGGUUGGGAUUGAGGAACGCAGCGCGCCUAUAGGCCAGGGGCUACCCGCCUCUUGACACGCGCUUAGGAUGCUGGCAUAAUGACUUUAAGCGACCCGUCUUGAAACACGGACCAAGGAGUCUAACAUGUGCGCGAGUGUUUGGGUGUCAAACCCAUGCGCGAAAUUAAAGUGAAAGGUUGGGAUCAUUCAUUUGUGCACCGACGCCCGGAGCAGACCUUUUGUGACGCAUCCGCGGUAGAGCGUAUAUGUUGGGACCCGAAAGAUGGUGAACUAUGCCUGAAUAGGGUGAAGCCAGAGGAAACUCUGGUGGAGGCUCGUAGCGAUUCUGACGUGCAAAUCGAUCGUCAAAUUUGGGUAUAGGGGCGAAAGACUAAUCGAACCAUCUAGUAGCUGGUUCCUGCCGAAGUUUCCCUCAGGAUAGCAGAAACUCGUGGUCUCAGCCUUGUGCGGUAAAGCGAAUGAUUAGAGGCCUUGGGGUUGAAACAACCUUAACCUAUUCUCAAACUCUAAAUGUGCAAGACAGGGU
RNAcentral lists this ribosomal RNA (1737 nucleotides) under uncultured Sebacinales. RNAcentral describes it as "eukaryotic LSU rRNA". The stretch from base 633 to 1737 matches the Rfam family "Eukaryotic large subunit ribosomal RNA", at positions 1 to 1084 of the family's 3401-position model. Lineage: Eukaryota; Fungi; Basidiomycota; Agaricomycetes; Sebacinales. The record is from RNAcentral.